This 75-nucleotide transfer RNA is filed under the name Dehalococcoides mccartyi. RNAcentral describes it as "tRNA-Met". Lineage: Bacteria; Bacillati; Chloroflexota; Dehalococcoidia; Dehalococcoidales; Dehalococcoidaceae. The record is from RNAcentral.
CGCAGGGUAGAGCAGCGGUUAGCUCGUCUGGCUCAUAACCAGAAGGAGCUGGGACAGAACCGGCACCCGUUACCA